CAGCGGGCUGGGCGCCGGUGGAGGGCGGGGGGUACGAACGGGAACCUCGGCGGUGGCGGGGGGAUGCUCAGGGGAACCCUCAGCAGGUUCCUGGUGAAAUGAGCAGCAAAGCACGAGCCUCAGGUGUUUGCUGGCAGCUGGGCAAGGUGCACAGGGCUCCUGGGAGCCUGCAGGCAUGGAAAUCCCAGCAGGACUGAGCUGAUCGAGCUGUGCCCUUCAGGAGGACCCAGCACUUCCAAGGGGCUUUUUCCACCCCAAUUUUCCCUUUAUUAUGAGCUGUUCCUCAAGAGUAUUCUUCUAGAUCCGUGUUUUUCCUGGGAAUGGAGGUGCCCUUUGUGCUUCUUCUGACCAGGCUCGUGGCAGAAGUUGCUGGAAAAUCCACAGAAAACUCGGUGCCAGACCCGGAAUGUUGUGUGGAAAUGUUGGAUUCCAACAGCUCCUGCCCUGUCAGCCACCAGUGCAGCCCAGGAUGCUACAGGAGGUGGAAUGAGGAUGGGAGCAGCAGCUGCAUCAAGUGCAGGAAUGAGACCCUGCCCAGCCCCUCUGGGCACAACCUCAGCGAGUGCAGGAAUUGUG
This is a long non-coding RNA of Pyrgilauda ruficollis (rufous-necked snowfinch), 576 nucleotides long. RefSeq lists it as uncharacterized. Lineage: Eukaryota; Metazoa; Chordata; Aves; Passeriformes; Passeridae. The transcript is spliced from 6 exons. The record is from RefSeq and is a predicted model, not a curated record.